CACCACAACAGGUGGAGCCUGCGGUUUAAUCGGACUCAACGCCGGGAAAGCUCACCGGAUAAGACAGCGGAAUGAUAGCCGGGCUGAAGACUCUGCUUGACUAGCUGAGAGGAGGUGCAUGGCCGUCGUCAGUUCGUACUGUGAAGCAUCCUGUUAAGUCAGGCAACGAGCGAGACCCACGCCAACAGUUGCCAGCAUGUCCUCCGGGAUGGUGGGGACACUGUUGGGACCGCCUCUGCUAAAGAGGAGGAAGGAAUGGGCAACGGUAGGUCAGCAUGCCCCGAAUUAUCCGGGCUACACGCGGGCUACAAUGGUCAGGACAAUGGGCAUCAACACCGAAAGGUGAAGGCAAUCUCUUAAACCUGUCCUUAGUUCGGAUUGUGGGCUGCAACUCGCCCACAUGAAGCUGGAAUCUGUAGUAAUCGCGUCUCAAAAUGGCGCGGUGAAUAUGUCCCUGCUCCUU
Molecule: ribosomal RNA, 463 nt
Filed under: uncultured Methanolinea sp.
Lineage: Archaea; Methanobacteriati; Methanobacteriota; Methanomicrobia; Methanomicrobiales; Methanoregulaceae
Description: bacterial SSU rRNA
Rfam family: Archaeal small subunit ribosomal RNA
Source: RNAcentral